UUGUUCUUCAAGCGAUCUCCAGCGACGACACAGUGCUUUCUCGGCAAUCUUUUUCUCCUCAAUCUUAGGCGGCUACCAGUUAAGUCCAAACAUCAUCGUCUUUACAAUACAUUACACAUGUCAUCCCGUCCGUAAUACAUAGGAUUCAUCGCUAACCGCAUCUUACGUAGCACACAAGCCCGAUCAUGGAGCUCUCUAGAAAAAUGCCGUCAAAGGCGAAGAAGAUUAGGCUCUCAGACUCCCAAAACCGCGUUUGUUCUUGAAGCGAUAUCCGGCGACGGCGCAGCGCUUUCCCGACGAUCUUUUUCUCCUCGAUCUCAUGCGGCUAGCAGCACACAACCCCGAUCAUGGAGGUCUCUAGAAAAAUGUCGUCAAAUGUGGUCAUCUGGUAGGUUAGGUUGUCGACGACCGACGGUGGAGAAGGGCAUAGUGUAGAAACGUAGCACAUAUCCUCGGUGGUGAGAAAGACGUCCUCUUCCAUUGACGUUGACAGCGGGAAUAGAUUUGACAAUAUUGGAGGAAGAGGACCUGACACACGAAACUCUUCUGGCAUCUCAUACUCUGUUGUAAACUCUUUCGGCAACUCAACUUCAGACACGACAUUAGUGACCACAACGGGUUUUUCACACACCUCGCCAGGGUUCUCGGUGGUACACGUUUGGGUUUUUUGUCGAUGAAUCUGAUUGGUGUAGAUGAAACCGACUAUACUGUGUGUUUUCUGUGAAAUGUCUAAUGUGUCAUAAACAUCUGAAAGCAAUGUUUGUACCCAACAGCAUACUACGCGUGUAGACAGUAACAAUUAGGUUUAUGUGGAUUUUGUUAUGUAAGAUGAAUGUAUAUAUUUUUACUAUUAUUGAUAGGGUGACAAACUUUAUA
Molecule: long non-coding RNA, 876 nt
Organism: Oryza brachyantha (malo sina)
Lineage: Eukaryota; Viridiplantae; Streptophyta; Magnoliopsida; Poales; Poaceae
Exons: 3
Source: RefSeq, a predicted model, not a curated record